Molecule: ribosomal RNA, 460 nt
Filed under: uncultured bacterium
Lineage: Bacteria
Description: partial 16S ribosomal RNA
Rfam family: Bacterial small subunit ribosomal RNA
Source: RNAcentral
CCUACGGGAGGCAGCAGUGAGGAAUAUUGGUCAAUGGACGCAAGUCUGAACCAGCCAUGCCGCGUGCAGGAAGACGGCUCUAUGAGUUGUAAACUGCUUUUGUACGAGGGUAAACGCAGAUACGCGUAUCUGUCUGAAAGUAUCGUACGAAUAAGGAUCGGCUAACUCCGUGCCAGCAGCCGCGGUAAUACGGAGGAUUCAAGCGUUAUCCGGAUUUAUUGGGUUUAAAGGGUGCGUAGGCGGUCGGCUAAGUUAGAGGGGAAAUCCCGUGGCUCAACUUCGGAAUUGCCUCUGAUACUGUUCGGCUAGAGCGUAGUUGCGGUAGGCGGAAUGUAUGGUGUAGCGGUGACAUGCUUCGAGAUCAUACAGAACACCGAUUGCGAAGGCAGCUUACCAAGCUACUUCUGACGUUGAGGCACGAAAGCGUGGGGAGCAAACAGGAUUAGAUACCCUAGUAGUC